Salvia splendens (bonfire salvia) is the source of this 1710-nucleotide long non-coding RNA. RefSeq lists it as uncharacterized. The record is from RefSeq and is a predicted model, not a curated record. The transcript has 2 exons. NCBI's taxonomy places the organism in Eukaryota, Viridiplantae, Streptophyta, Magnoliopsida, Lamiales, Lamiaceae.
AUCGGCCCAAAGAUUUAUUUAAAAGCCUCAAAACUUAAUUAUUUCCCCACCUUAUAUCUCCAAUUUAAUUAAGAAGCCCCAACAAAAUAAAAAGAGCCCAAACAAAACAUUUAAUUAUUGAGUCCCAAUUCUUUUAAAAACAAAAGGACCAACUUAAAUAAAAGCCCAAAAUUUAUACUCCCAUCAUAAACACACGUACACACAGCCAUCCCACUUUUCUUAAAACAAAAAGACAAGGACUAAAAUUUUAAGAGCAUAAAAUAAUUAAGAACCAACUAUUCCUACAUUCCAGAACUCGUUGCCCUCUUUUAUUUUUAGCCCAAAAAUAGAGUAAAUUUCGAAAUCGGGCCUUCGUUCAAUUAUUUACUGUAGCCCCAAAUAUUUAGAAGCAGUUGGGCCCAAUUUAUAUUUGCCUAGCCCAAAUAAUUAAGUCAGGAACCUAAUAAAAAAAAAUACACACUCAAUAUACCCUCACUUUAUCUUUCUCCCCCAUUUCACAAAAGAAUGAACACUCUCCCCCCCCCACACCUUGCUGCCGCCGCCGUUGGAGCCUCCCUCCGGUGCCGCUGUCGCGCCACCGCCACCUCCGACGGUGGUCCUUCCUCCUCAUCAUCUCUCUUUCUCUCUCUCUCUCUCUCGCUCCACCGCCGGCAUGCAGAGGCAGCGGCUUCGCCGUCCCCCUCCCGGCAGUCCGGCCGUCUCCGGACAGCAGCAGAUCGGUGCUCCUCUCUCUCUCUCUCUCUCUCUCUCCUUCUCCUCUCAUCUCUCCCUCGGCUACGCUCACGCCGCCGCCGUCGCCGGUUCGCGUCAGCCGCCGUCGCCGAGGGCCUUGCCCAUUCGCUGACGUUGCGAAGGCCGCUGCUUCCUCGCCGACCUCCGAGAGGUUGUGAAAUUAGUGACGUAUCGGGAUGAGGGCUGUCCUUGGCUGUAUCCGGGCUGCCGAAGAGCCAUCGCCGGAAAUCCGGCAGAUUCGUAUUCACGAGAUAAGCUCAUUUUUUUAUAGUUAUUAAGAUUUUACUUUGAUUCUAGUUACUUUAUUUGGUGAAUUGUGACUAUAUGCCUUAUUCCGAACACUCAAUGGUGAAAUAUGUUGUUUUAAAUUUGUUUUGGCAGAUUCUACUUCCAACUAUAUAAUACAUAUAUGUAUAUAUAUGAGAAAGAACAGAAGGGUUUGGGAUUUACCUGAAGAAUAAAGUGUUAUAGGAUUGUAAUGCUCGACUAUACAAUUAUUAGCCGCCCUUCACCUCCGAUUUCUAUGUGGAAGUUUCUUUAUUUUUGGGAGGUUAAAUUGACGAUGUGGGGUGUGAAAAUGAAACUUAUCCUCCAAGAAAAAAAAAAUAUUCUGUCAGAGGAUUGAUAUGUUUUGAUAGGAUUUCUUCUGCCAUCCAAUUAAUGCAGUAUUUAAUGUUGCUGAUAUUACUUGAUUCUAUCGGAUAUGUCCAUAUCUCUUUCUCUUUUUUUUUAUUUAAAUUUUAUUUAAUUAUUUUAGUAAUUAUUUGAGUGUUUAUUUAAUUUGGUGUAGGAAAACAAAUAACAUCCAUAGUUUUCCCUGAUGAUGUACCGGACUUUCUUGGAGUGCAAGCACGACCGUUGAACGGGCUGCGUGAACUUUUCUCUAAUUGUAAUAGAUAAGGAUUUGAUAAUUUGUAAAGUAGUAAUUUAGCGGACUUCGAAGAUAUGCCGGACAUUAUAAAUAUUUAUUUGGUGUUA